AGAGAGGUUAAUCACCUGCCCCGGGGCACCCAGCCUGGACGGGGUAGGGCUGGGACUGGAACCCAGGACUCUGCCCAGGCAGGUCUGUGCUGAAGCAGGAGGUCGGAGGUUGGGGGGACUCACCUGCCUGUACCUGGUCCCUUGGGCCCUGACACAGCCCUGGAAGAGAGUCCCUCCUCACUCUGCUCUCCCUGAAGGAUGGCUGAGGACACAGCAGGUCCCAGGACCUUCAGGACCAGAUGUGAGUGUCAGCAGACCCCCCAUGCUCUGCC
This is a long non-coding RNA of Eptesicus fuscus (big brown bat), 272 nucleotides long. RefSeq lists it as uncharacterized. The transcript has 3 exons. Lineage: Eukaryota; Metazoa; Chordata; Mammalia; Chiroptera; Vespertilionidae. The record is from RefSeq and is a predicted model, not a curated record.